This 672-nucleotide ribosomal RNA is filed under the name Bacillus siamensis. Its description in RNAcentral is "bacterial SSU rRNA". It matches the Rfam family "Bacterial small subunit ribosomal RNA", at positions 53 to 710 of the family's 1533-position model. Lineage: Bacteria; Bacillati; Bacillota; Bacilli; Caryophanales; Bacillaceae. The record is from RNAcentral.
ACUGCAGUCGAGCGGAAGAUGGGAGCUUGCUCCCUGAUGUUAGCGGCGGACGGGUGAGUAACACGUGGGUAACCUGCCUGUAAGACUGGGAUAACUCCGGGAAACCGGGGCUAAUACCGGAUGGUUGUCUGAACCGCAUGGUUCAGACAUAAAAGGUGGCUUCGGCUACCACUUACAGAUGGACCCGCGGCGCAUUAGCUAGUUGGUGAGGUAACGGCUCACCAAGGCGACGAUGCGUAGCCGACCUGAGAGGGUGAUCGGCCACACUGGGACUGAGACACGGCCCAGACUCCUACGGGAGGCAGCAGUAGGGAAUCUUCCGCAAUGGACGAAAGUCUGACGGAGCAACGCCGCGUGAGUGAUGAAGGUUUUCGGAUCGUAAAGCUCUGUUGUUAGGGAAGAACAAGUGCCGUUCAAAUAGGGCGGCACCUUGACGGUACCUAACCAGAAAGCCACGGCUAACUACGUGCCAGCAGCCGCGGUAAUACGUAGGUGGCAAGCGUUGUCCGGAAUUAUUGGGCGUAAAGGGCUCGCAGGCGGUUUCUUAAGUCUGAUGUGAAAGCCCCCGGCUCAACCGGGGAGGGUCAUUGGAAACUGGGGAACUUGAGUGCAGAAGAGGAGAGUGGAAUUCCACGUGUAGCGGUGAAAUGCGUAGAGAUGUGGAGGAACACC